Long non-coding RNA from Dermochelys coriacea (leatherback sea turtle), 851 nucleotides. RefSeq lists it as uncharacterized. The record is from RefSeq and is a predicted model, not a curated record. The transcript is spliced from 3 exons. Lineage: Eukaryota; Metazoa; Chordata; Testudines; Dermochelyidae.
UCCCACUCUCCGAACCCCUCGGUCACAGCCCAGAGCAUCCUCCUGCACCUCAAACCUUUCAUCCCCAGCCCCACCCCAUAGCCCACACCCCCCCAGCCGGAGCCCUCAUGCUCUGCCUCAAUGUUAUAUAACAUUGUUUGGGUGAACUACCAUCAGUUCCUCCUCUAUCACAGAGCUCGUUGAUAAGAAAGCCAAAGCAGAGGGAGAAGGGCAAAUAGUGGAGCAUGCACAGGGACAUAUAUCUUGAAGAACCACAGUUACUGCACAAGAGCAGUUCAUUUCUAAACUUUGGAACACUGAGGAGCCAUUGAGGUGGAGACCCUGAAGAUUGGGGUAAAAGAUCAGUCCCACAUCCUCUGAGAGGAAGUGAAAAAUGGGCUGGAGAGGGUUUGGCAGGCAAAUUGCCAUUUGAGUAAGGUGUGUAAAUUCCCCAGGAAUGCAACAUGGCUCUGGAGUCUUUUAAUGUUUGGUGGGAUUAUUCUGUUCUUUCUCCAAAUAACUUGGACCUUCAAAUGGAAAGUCUUCCAUAGUGGAUUGUACCUCCUUUGGAAAGCCGGAAAGGUGAAAUCAUUAAGCUUUCUGCAUGACCACUGCGGUUGAGAUGGAAUGAGCAGCCGUACCAGCAAUGUCCAGAGAGGCCUGCAACUAUGUCCUUGCAAGUAGCUGACCCUCAGCAAUGAUUGCCUAAAACUGUUCUCUUUGAUCAGUUGGGAGAUGUUCAAUGAAGCUGUUAACUUAGAGUAGUUGACAUGAUUGUAUUUUGCCAUAAGGGCUUGGUAAUUAGCAAUCCUAAAUUGUGGGGUAACUGAUUAAUAUGAUUUCCUUCCAAAUAAAUCCAAUCAUUUCCAGUC